UGACAGAAUGCUUAACACAUGCAAGUCGAUGGGGAAGGCUGAGCUUGCUCAGCUGGUAACCAUGGCGGACGGGUGAGUAACGCGUAAGGAACUUACCUGCGGGACUGGGAUAACGGAGGGAAACUUCUGACAAGACCGGAUAAAGUUACAGGGCAGCAUUGUUUGGUAAUGAAAGGAGACGCCUGCGGAGAGUCUUGCGUCCUAUUAGCUAGUUGGUUGGGUAACGGCUGACCAAGGCGAAGAUAGGUAGCCGGCCUGAGAGGGUGGACGGCCACAAGGGGACUGAGAUACGGCCCUUACUCCUACGGGAGGCAGCAGUGGGGAAUAUUGGACAAUGGGGGCAACCCUGAUCCAGCAAUUCUGUGUGCACGAAGAAGGUUUUCGGAUUGUAAAGUGCUUUCAGCAGGGAAGAAGGAAGUGACGGUACCUGCAGAAGAAGCGACGGCUAAAUACGUGCCAGCAGCCGCGGUAAUACGUAUGUCGCGAGCGUUAUCCGGAAUUAUUGGGCAUAAAGGGCAUCUAGGCGGCCUAACAAGUCAGGGGUGAAAACCUGCGGCUCAACCGCAGGCCUGCCUUUGAAACUGUAAGGCUGGAGUACCGGAGAGGUGGACGGAACUGCACGAGUAGAGGUGAAAUUCGUAGAUAUGUGCAGGAAUGCCGAUGAUGAAGAUAGUCCACUGGACGGAAACUGACGCUGAAGUGCGAAAGCCGGGGGAGCGUACAGGAUUAGAUACCCUGGUAGUCCCGGCCGUAAACGAUGAUUACUGGGUGUGGGCAGGAAGACUGUCUGUGCCG
Molecule: ribosomal RNA, 795 nt
Filed under: uncultured Leptotrichia sp.
Lineage: Bacteria; Fusobacteriati; Fusobacteriota; Fusobacteriia; Fusobacteriales; Leptotrichiaceae
Description: bacterial SSU rRNA
Rfam family: Bacterial small subunit ribosomal RNA
Source: RNAcentral